GACGAACGCUGGCGGCGUGCUUAACACAUGCAAGUCGAACGGAAAGGCCCUGCUUUUGUGGGGUGCUCGAGUGGCGAACGGGUGAGUAACACGUGAGUAACCUGCCCUUGACUUUGGGAUAACUUCAGGAAACUGGGGCUAAUACCGGAUAGGAGCUCCUGCUGCAUGGUGGGGGUUGGAAAGUUUCGGCGGUUGGGGAUGGACUCGCGGCUUAUCAGCUUGUUGGUGGGGUAGUGGCUUACCAAGGCUUUGACGGGUAGCCGGCCUGAGAGGGUGACCGGCCACAUUGGGACUGAGAUACGGCCCAGACUCCUACGGGAGGCAGCAGUGGGGAAUACUGCACAAUGGGCUGAAGCCUGAUGCAGCAACGCCGCGUGCGGGAUGACGGCCUUCGGGUUGUAAACCGCUUUCGCCUGUGACGAAGCGUGAGUGACGGUAAUGGGUAAAGAAGCACCGGCUAACUACGUG
RNAcentral lists this ribosomal RNA (468 nucleotides) under uncultured bacterium. RNAcentral's name for it is "partial 16S ribosomal RNA". It matches the Rfam family "Bacterial small subunit ribosomal RNA", at positions 28 to 507 of the family's 1533-position model. The record is from RNAcentral.